RNAcentral lists this ribosomal RNA (497 nucleotides) under uncultured bacterium. Its description in RNAcentral is "partial 16S ribosomal RNA". It matches the Rfam family "Bacterial small subunit ribosomal RNA", at positions 28 to 507 of the family's 1533-position model. The record is from RNAcentral.
GGGGGGGGGGGGGGGGGGGGGGGGGGCGGGGGGGGCGGGCGGGGGGGGGGGGGGCUUGCUCCUGUGACGUUAGCGGCGGACGGGGGAGGAACACGUGGGUAACCUACCUAUAAGACUGGGAUAACUUCGGGAAACCGGAGCUAAUACCGGAUAAUAUAUUGAACCGCAUGGUUCAAUAGUGAAAGACGGUUUUGCUGUCACUUAUAGAUGGAUCCGCGCCGCAUUAGCUAGUUGGUAAGGUAACGGCUUACCAAGGCAACGAUGCGUAGCCGACCUGAGAGGGUGAUCGGCCACACGGGAACUGAGACACGGUCCAGACUCCUACGGGAGGCAGCAGUAGGGGAUCUUCCGCAAUGGGCGAAAGCCUGACGGAGCAACGCCGCGUGAGUGAUGAAGGUCUUCGGAUCGUAAAACUCUGUUAUUAGGGAAGAACAAAUGUGUAAGUAACUAUGCACGUCUUGACGGUACCUAAUCAGAAAGCCACGGCUAACUACGUG